AACGCGAAGAACCUUACCUAAGCUUGACAUCCUGCUGACCCUUCCCUAAUCGGAAGUUUCCCUUCGGGGACAGUAGAGACAGGUGGUGCAUGGUUGUCGUCAGCUCGUGUCGUGAGAUGUUGGGUUAAGUCCCGCAACGAGCGCAACCCUUGCCUUUAGUUGCCAUCAUUAAGUUGGGCACUCUAGAGGGACUGCCAGGGAUAACCUGGAGGAAGGUGGGGAUGACGUCAAAUCAUCAUGCCCCUUAUGCUUAGGGCUACACACGUGCUACAAUGGGUGGUACAGAGGGCAGCGAAGCCGUGAGGUGAAGCAAAUCUCUUAAAGCCAUUCUCAGUUCGGAUUGUAGGCUGAAACUCGCCUACAUGAAGCUGGAGUUACUAGUAAUCGCAGAUCAGAAUGCUGCGGUGAAUGCGUUCCCGGGUCUUGUACACACCG
This 435-nucleotide ribosomal RNA is filed under the name uncultured bacterium. RNAcentral describes it as "bacterial SSU rRNA". It matches the Rfam family "Bacterial small subunit ribosomal RNA", at positions 958 to 1392 of the family's 1533-position model. The record is from RNAcentral.